Molecule: ribosomal RNA, 253 nt
Filed under: uncultured bacterium
Lineage: Bacteria
Description: partial 16S ribosomal RNA
Rfam family: Bacterial small subunit ribosomal RNA
Source: RNAcentral
UACGGGGGGGGCAAGCGUUGUUCGGAAUUACUGGGCGUAAAGGGCUUGUAGGUGGCCAACUAAGUCAGACGUGAAAUCCCCAGGCUCAACUUGGGAACUGCGUCUGAUACUGGAUGGCUUGAAUUCGGGAGAGGGAUGCAGAAUUCCAGGUGUAGCGGUGAAAUGCGUAGAUAUCUGGAGGAAUACCGGUGGCGAAGGCGGCAUCCUGGACCGAGAUUGACACUGAUGAGCGAAAGCUAGGGGAGCAAACGGG